UCUAAUGUGGCAGAUUAGUGCAUUGGAUUUAAACCCCAAAUAUAAAGGUUUAAUCCUUUUUUUAGAA
RNAcentral lists this transfer RNA (67 nucleotides) under Phyllobrotica quadrimaculata. Its description in RNAcentral is "tRNA-Leu". It matches the Rfam family "tRNA". Rfam says of the family: Transfer RNA (tRNA) molecules are approximately 80 nucleotides in length. Their secondary structure includes four short double-helical elements and three loops (D, anti-codon, and T loops). Further hydrogen bonds mediate the characteristic L-shaped molecular structure. tRNAs have two regions of fundamental functional importance: the anti-codon, which is responsible for specific mRNA codon recognition, and the 3' end, to which the tRNAs corresponding amino acid is attached (by aminoacyl-tRNA synthetases). tRNAs cope with the degeneracy of the genetic code in two manners: having more than one tRNA (with a specific anti-codon) for a particular amino acid; and 'wobble' base-pairing, i.e. permitting non-standard base-pairing at the 3rd anti-codon position. Lineage: Eukaryota; Metazoa; Arthropoda; Insecta; Coleoptera; Chrysomelidae. The record is from RNAcentral.